GAUGAACGCUGGCGGCGUGCCUAAUACAUGCAAGUCGAGCGAACGGACGAGAAGCUUGCUUCUCUGAUGUUAGCGGCGGACGGGUGAGUAACACGUGGAUAACCUACCUAUAAGACUGGGAUAACUUCGGGAAACCGGAGCUAAUACCGGAUAAUAUUUUGAACCGCAUGGUUCAAAAGUGAAAGACGGUCUUGCUGUCACUUAUUGAUGGAUCCGCGCUGCAUUAGCUAGUUGGUAAGGUAACGGCUUACCAAGGCAACGAUGCAUAGCCGACCUGAGAGGGUGAUCGGCCACACUGGAACUGAGACACGGUCCAGACUCCUACGGGAGGCAGCAGUAGGGAAUCUUCCGCAAUGGGCGAAAGCCUGACGGAGCAACGCCGCGUGAGUGAUGAAGGUCUUCGGAUCGUAAAACUCUGUUAUUAGGGAAGAACAUAUGUGUAAGUAACUGUGCACAUCUUGACGGUACCUAAUCAGAAAGCCGCGGCUAACUACGUG
RNAcentral lists this ribosomal RNA (497 nucleotides) under uncultured bacterium. RNAcentral describes it as "partial 16S ribosomal RNA". It matches the Rfam family "Bacterial small subunit ribosomal RNA", at positions 28 to 507 of the family's 1533-position model. The record is from RNAcentral.